CAGUCGCCGCGGUAAUACGUAGGUGGCAAGCGUUGUCCGGAAUUAUUGGGCGUAAAGGGCUCGCAGGCGGUUUCUUAAGUCUGAUGUGAAAGCCCCCGGCUCAACCGGGGAGGGUCAUUGGAAAUUGGGAAACUUGAGUGCAGAAGAGGAGAGUGGAAUUCCACGUGUAGCGGUGAAAUGCGUAGAGAUGUGGAGGAACACCAGUGGCGAAGGCGACUCUCUGGUCUGUAACUGACGCUGAGGAGCGAAAGCGUGGGGAGCGAACAGGAUUAGAUACCCCCGUAGUCCCUGUCUCUUAUAC
RNAcentral lists this ribosomal RNA (301 nucleotides) under uncultured bacterium. RNAcentral's name for it is "partial 16S ribosomal RNA". It matches the Rfam family "Bacterial small subunit ribosomal RNA", at positions 509 to 807 of the family's 1533-position model. The record is from RNAcentral.